RNAcentral lists this ribosomal RNA (230 nucleotides) under uncultured bacterium. RNAcentral describes it as "partial 16S ribosomal RNA". It matches the Rfam family "Bacterial small subunit ribosomal RNA", at positions 524 to 755 of the family's 1533-position model. The record is from RNAcentral.
UACGAAGGGGGCUAGCGUUGCUCGGAAUCACUGGGCGUAAAGCGCACGUAGGCGGCUUUUUAAGUCAGAGGUGAAAUCCUGGAGCUCAACUCCAGAACUGCCUUUGAUACUGGAGAGCUUGAGUCCGGGAGAGGUGAGUGGAACUGCGAGUGUAGAGGUGAAUUCGUAGAUAUCGCAAGAACACCAGUGGCGAAGGCGGCUCACUGGCCCGGUACUGACGCUGAGGUGCG